UUUCUUACUCUAGAUCCUUAUUUCCACUUAAGCUCUUACUCUAGACACCUAUUUUGAAGCAUUGCAGUGAAGAAUAUAUGCAUGAAGAUUACUCACCUUUCUCCUUGUUUCCCUUUACUUACCAUGGCUAGGAUUUGUUUUCCUCAAGAGGGACCAUGCACAUUAUAUGUUAAGACUUUUUUUAGCUUUUGGUGUGACUUGCCCUUACCUUGAAGUACUUUAUUCAGGCUUUUGCACUUUAGAUCUUGCUUGGAAAGGUCACCAACCUAUUUUUGAUGUACUUUUAGAUAUUUCAGUUGGUCACCUAUCCAAGUGGCUACUAGCCUUGUUCAUAGUCUUUUGACCAUUGGAACAGUUUUCUCUUUUCUCUUUUCUCUCUUUUUUUUUUUUUGUGCUUUUGAGGGCUUUGCCUUUGCUGAAUUUUCUUUCUCUCAAUGAUUUGGGCAAAUCAACACCUAUUGCUAAAGCAAG
RNAcentral lists this long non-coding RNA (471 nucleotides) under Manihot esculenta (cassava). RNAcentral describes it as "long non-coding RNA (MESC_LNC012480)". Lineage: Eukaryota; Viridiplantae; Streptophyta; Magnoliopsida; Malpighiales; Euphorbiaceae. The record is from RNAcentral.